AAAACAUGUCUCUAUGGGUUAGAUAUAGAGUCUGACCUGCCCACUGAGGAGUGAUCUUGAAGGGCUGCGGAAUCUUAACCGUGCGAAGGUAGCAUAGUCAUUAGUCUUUUAAUUGGAGGCUGGAAUGAACGGUUGGACAAGAAAUUAACUGUUUCUGUGAUGGUUAUUGAAUUUUACUUUUAAGUGAAAAGGCUUAAAUGUAUUUAGGGGACGAUAAGACCCUAUAAAAUUUACACAAGUUAGUUUGAUGAACAAAGUAAGGUCUAACGGUAGUUGAGCGAUAAUUGUUUUGUUGGGGCGACAGAGAUAUAAGUGUUUAAAGUAGCUGUCUUUAUAUAUAGAAUAAAUUUAUUUAGGUGAUGUGAUCCUUUACUGAAGAUUAGAAGAUUAAAUUACUUUAGGGAUAACAGCGUAAUUGUUCUUGAGAGUCCUUAUCGACAGAGUUAGUUGCGACCUCGAUGUUGAAUUAAAGUUUCCUUCAAAUGCAGAAGUUUGUUUGGUAGGUCUGUUCGACCUUAAAACUUACAUGAUUUGAGUUCAAACCGGUGAGAGCCAGGUGUUUUUUCAUCUAAA
This 573-nucleotide ribosomal RNA is filed under the name Saron neglectus. Its description in RNAcentral is "partial large subunit ribosomal RNA". It matches the Rfam family "Archaeal large subunit ribosomal RNA", at positions 1902 to 2715 of the family's 2987-position model. The record is from RNAcentral. Lineage: Eukaryota; Metazoa; Arthropoda; Malacostraca; Decapoda; Hippolytidae.